This 403-nucleotide long non-coding RNA is filed under the name Homo sapiens (human). RNAcentral describes it as "non-protein coding PART1:8". The stretch from base 1 to 124 matches the Rfam family "Prostate androgen-regulated transcript 1 conserved region 2", at positions 127 to 249 of the family's 249-position model. Lineage: Eukaryota; Metazoa; Chordata; Mammalia; Primates; Hominidae. The record is from RNAcentral.
UCUACACAUUAAUCUACUUAUCUGGAAUCACUUUGCCUCUAAAGGCCAGAGAAAAAUCACAGCUUCCUUGUCGGAGGGGAAAAGGACAGGUGAUCUGGGGAAAACGCAGCUACACCUGGAGCAAGGUCUCUUCCCGGCUUGGCAAUCUCAGCUGUGCCGGCGCUACGGGACCCGAGCCGUCCCAGAAACCAAAGGGCAGGCACGGCAGCAAACGCCUGAGUGCUGCUGCCUUCGGUGACUAUAUGAGAAUGGAAACUUCUAAGGAAGCCAGGUUGUUAGAAUUGUUACCCCCUUUACUCAGAGAUAACAUAGAUUAUCCAGGCUGAGAUGGAAAACAAGCCCUUUAUUGAAUUUUCAACACAGACUCCCUGCUUCUCAUCUCCUUAAUAAAAUUUCAUUAAAA